GAUGAAGAACGUAGCAAAAUGCGAUAAGUAAUGUGAAUUGCAGAAUUCAGUGAAUCAUCGAAUCUUUGAACGCACAUUGCGCCCGCUGGUAUUCCGGCGGGCAUGCCUGUUCGAGCGUCAUUUCAACCCUCAAGCCCCCGGGUUUGGUGUUGGGGAUCGGCUCUGCCCUUCUGGGCGGUGCAGCCCCCGAAAUACAUUGGCGGUCUCGCUGCAGCCUCCAUUGCGUAGUAGCUAACACCUCGCAACUGGAACGCGGCGCGGCCAUGCCGUAAAACCCCAACUUCUGAAUGUUGACCUCGGAUCAGGUAGGAAUACCCGCUGAACUUAAGCAUAUCAAUAAGCGGAGGA
This 348-nucleotide unclassified non-coding RNA is filed under the name soil metagenome. Its description in RNAcentral is "partial contains 5.8S ribosomal RNA, internal transcribed spacer 2, and large subunit ribosomal RNA". The stretch from base 1 to 120 matches the Rfam family "5.8S ribosomal RNA", at positions 35 to 154 of the family's 154-position model. The record is from RNAcentral.